UGGAGCUUCCGUGUGAUCGCGAUGUUGCCCUAUAUUAGCACCAGCUCUGCCGUGCCUCGCCUCAAAUGCGGAAUGGAUGGUGGCUCCGCUGUACGAGCCAUCAUUGUCCGCGUGUGCUCGAAUUUCGUCCACCAUUUGUGCACGGGAGUCGCUCCGCUUGAAAGAAGGACUUCGCCGACAGCGGUACUUCGGCUACACAUCGGCUGACAUUUUUACCUUAAGCUCCACAAAAGGCUGUUAGCACUGACCUCGUCAGGGUCACCUGUUGGAUGAGGCAUCCGUGUGCUCGCCGGUCAAGUUCAGAUUAUCGGGUGCACCUGCUCGUGCUUCACCAAGCCCCGCAGGGAGUCGAACACAAGGCCACACCACUGGCAUGACAAUGCAGCCUUACUGCUGCUGCCACCACUGCAUGGACCAUGGCGAACCAACCAGCAUUAUUAUACAAGAAA
Molecule: long non-coding RNA, 449 nt
Organism: Dermacentor silvarum
Lineage: Eukaryota; Metazoa; Arthropoda; Arachnida; Ixodida; Ixodidae
Exons: 3
Source: RefSeq, a predicted model, not a curated record